UAAAACGUAUCUUUUUAAAGUGUGAUUGUAAACCUAACCUUAAAUUAAGUCCAAAAAUAAAAACACGUGUCAUGAAGUUUGACUUUGUGGAUGUGGUAGCCGUUGUAUUGUCAGUGAUUAUUUUAAAGCCGUUUCCCCUGUCUAGAUUCAUUUUGAUAUUCUCAUCUUUACUCAAGGAGGUCUCGGCGUAAUCAUUCAUGGUGUCUGGCGAACCGAGUGCAAAGAAACUGACCGUUCGAGGAGAAAAAGGAUAACGCAUCAGAAAAUAAAAAAGACUUCAGAGAAAGCUCCAAAGAAGAAAGCUCCAAAGAAGAAAGCUCCAAAGAAGAAAGCUCCAAAGAAGAAAGCUCCAAAGAAGAAAGCUCCAAAGAGGAAAACUCCAAAGAGGAAAACUCCAGAGAGAACCUCGACCAAACCCAGGACUGGAAAGUGGGGGUGUGACCCUGAAGGAGCCAACCACGGAGAUCGAGAGCUCUGCACCAGUGAUGUUGCGGUGCCACAUUGACGGACACCCGCGUCCCACUUGCCACCAGUGGUUCCGAGAUAGACUGACAGAAAACUGACAGAAAAAAACCCAUCAGAUUAACAACAAGGAGCACACCGUCAUCUUCAGGAGCGCCAGCCACAACGACAAUGGCCUGUAUUACUGCUGUGCCAAGAAUGCAGCCGGCCAUGUGUGCAGCAACGCCAACUUCACCCUCAACAUUAUAGGUGUUUUUGUCCGUUCACAUUUAUCAUGGAUGUGUGUGUGUUUGUUGUCUGUGCACAUUUGUCCUGUGUGUGCGUUUAGUCUAUGUGUGUGGGCUCCGCUUCUUUGUAAAAGCUGCCUCAUAAUCCUGUUAUCUUUGAUGACAUCUCACACACUGUGGGCCCCCUGGCAAUUUUGCCACAUUACUACCAAGUUGUCUUUUCUCAUUCCUUCCUUUGCAUCACAGUCAAUGUGAUUACACACACACACACUUCUGAGCCAGGCUGCUCUGUUGAGCCAGGUAACAGUGUGACAUUAAUAAAUCACAAAAGAAAGGUUAUGGCGUGUUAGCAGGAGAGCUUUUCAUAAAUAUUUCCAUGGUGUGUUUAGUUACCUGAUUUACUUGUUAGAGGCUAGGCCAGGCGGCACUAUGAGAUUUGUUCUGCAGUGAGUGUGUAGCUGUAGACCAUUCGUGUGGAGAGCGAGAAAGGGUUGUUCGGGCUGUCCGCAUAGGAGAACUCUUUGAAGAACCCGUUUUGGUUCUAGGUAGAACCCUCUAGGUAGAACUCUUCCAUGUAGGACCCUUUCCACAGAGAGUUCUACAUGGAACACAAAAAGGUUCUCCUAUGGGGACAGCCGAAGAACCCUUUUGGAACCCUUUUCUUUCUAAGCGUGUAUAAUGUGAUUACCACAGGCCUUACCGGUGUGUAAGUAUCCACCUCCACAGCCAACCACUCACACACACUCUAAAUCACACCAAUCCACUUAUUGUACAGGUACUGUAAAUAUAGUGUCACGCCUUGGUCUUAGUAUUUUGUGUUUUAGUUAAUUAGUUGGUCAGGCCAGGGUGUGACAUGGGUUUAUGUUGUUGUAUUGGGGUUUUGUAGUUAUUGGGAUUGCGGCUGAGUAGGGGUGUUGCAUAGGCUUGGCUGCCUGAGGCGGUUCUCAAUCAGAGUCAGGUGAUUCUCGUUGUCUCUGAUUGGGAACUGUAUUUAGGUAGCCUGGGUUUCACUUUGUAUUUCGUGGGUGAUUGUUCCUGUCUCUGUGUUAGUGUUCACCAGACAGGCUGUAUAGGUUUUUUCACGUUUUGUUGUUUUGUAUUUAUUAGUUAUUUCAUGUAUCGUUCCGUUUUUUCUUCAUUAAAAACAUGAGUAACCAACACGCUGCAUUUCGGUCCGACUCUCUUUCGACAAACGAAGAACGCCGUUACAUAUAAACAUUAGCCCCCUCAGUUCAUUCCCCCAAAUUCUGUUGAACUGUAUCAGUCCAUGUAUUUAUGUCCUGGUUUCUGUAUACAUUUUUGCUUAUUAUAUAGAAUAUGCAUCUCAUGUAUGUGUGUGUGGAAAUGUGCCCCUGAGGACACUACCACACAGAAUAGAGUACCCAGUCAGGAGCACAUCUGUGGGAGAAACCUGAUCUCCACUCUAAUUAGUCACCUGUGCUGCUUACACACGCCCGCCCGCAUGCACGCACCACACCCCACACACACAUUCCCACAGGAUUAGUACCUGGAUGGAAUGAAAAGAAAGAAAGAAUGAAAAAAUCCUACAAUGUGAUUUUCUGGAUUUUUUUUUCCCUCAUUUUUGUCUGUCAUAGUUGAAGUGUACCUAUGAUGAAAAUUACAGGCCUCUCUCAUCUUUUUAAGUGGGAGAACUUGCACAAUUGGUGGCUGACUAAAUACUUUUUUGCCCCACUGUAUGUUCUAACAGGGAUGAUCUGUGCUGUUGAUAAACUGAAAUUUGAGUCCAAGUAAGCACUGAGGUUAGUCAUUCUAAAUUAGGGCUGGUUCAUUUAGAAAAUGUUUUAGUUGUGAUUGGGAUACAUCGAGAGUGAAUUGCUGAAGCACGAUGAGGGGUGGGGGAGCUGAUAACAUUUAUUUGGCCAAGAGAGUCUCCAGAAACGUAUCUCUAAGUGUUAUCCUGAGGGGAGGUGGUCAGUUUGUUUGGGGGAAUCACUGGAUGAUAGCUUGGGACAACCAUGAAAGUUUUUUUGUUUUUGCCAUGGUCUCAGACUUUGGUUGUCGGAAUAUAUAAUUAUCUAUAGCUUAUCACGUCGUUAAUACUGUUAUGUUUUGUGUGUCUUUUUGUUGCUUUCCAAGUCUUGUGGUAUCACUCUCUUAGGAACCAGAAGGGGGAAGUGGAGAAACUAAAAGCUGCUCCAUCUGACAUUGAACGAGACCGCAGAUUCAGCUGGAAUGGCAUUUUGUUGUGUGAUCAUAGUUCAGAGGCCAUAAGUCUCUGAAUUUGUACACCUCGAGGUGCCUGUUUGUUCAUUGGUUUGUUCAUUUGUUUGUUUGUUUAGUUCAUGUUUUAUAAGCAUUUGUUUUUUAUUCAUGAUUUAUUAUCAUUGUUUAUACAUUUAUUAGUAAUUUCCAAGUUUAUAUGAAUUGAACAUUAGGAUGCUAUUGUUCAAGACGAGGCACUGUUGGAUUCAACAUUUUGAACAUUGAGAUAUUAAAGACAUGAUAGAUUAGACGCAUAGUACAUUAAGUAAAAGAGACCGGGUCUCUGUAGAAAGACAGAUAGCUGUGGAAUGUGUUGGGGGACGGGAACAGAGCACAAUGUUGAUACAGGAAAGACAGAUGGACAUCUGUGGAUUAGAUGAAGGAGGGGUUGAGGUCAGGAGGUGAGGACAGGUCACCUGAAGGGAGUAAUAAGGGUUUGGUAUCUUGUUACUCUUUUCCUGUUAAACCAUAAGAAGGAUUGGAGAGAAGGAGGAGCGUCUUAAGUGGGAUAUAUAUAUCUGGUUGGGAGUGUUGGGUUGUCUGAAUUACAGCUGUACAGAAACUUUGGGAAGAAUUAAACUUGGUUA
Oncorhynchus masou masou (cherry salmon) is the source of this 3499-nucleotide long non-coding RNA. RefSeq lists it as uncharacterized. Lineage: Eukaryota; Metazoa; Chordata; Actinopteri; Salmoniformes; Salmonidae. The transcript is spliced from 3 exons. The record is from RefSeq and is a predicted model, not a curated record.